This 684-nucleotide long non-coding RNA is filed under the name Callithrix jacchus (white-tufted-ear marmoset). RNAcentral's name for it is "lncRNA (ENSCJAG00000083819.1)". The record is from RNAcentral. Lineage: Eukaryota; Metazoa; Chordata; Mammalia; Primates; Cebidae.
CGGGCAAACCCUAUUGUGAACUCCGUGGGCGCGGGAUCUCGCAGGCUUUGCGAGAAUCUAACGCCUGCUGAUCUAUCACUGUCUCCCAUCCUCUACGAAUGGGACCAUCUAGUUGCAGCAAAGCAAGCUCAAGGCUCCCACGGAUUCUACAUUAUGACACAGAUUUUUCCCCCCUGCGAUUUCUCUUAUUUUCAUCGACAUGCCAGCAGUGUGAGAGACAGAUUGGUGUGAUUCCAUUCACUGGUACCUUCUGAAAUGAGAGCUGCCACAUAAUAAUUACUGUUGAAGGUGCAGAUGGAGAGUAGCACCAUAAGUCAUCUGUUCCAGUAAGGGAUCUAAUUUAUUUCUCCACUUCCAGGACAAGGUAUUUCAAACAACCACUGAUAGGUCUUCCUAUGUCAUACUACUGGCCUGCCAAUUAAUAAUCUCAGGAGAUAUGACUGCCAAAUACAUGACAAGUUUCUAAACCAUGGAGUACUCUGCCUCUUCUUACUCCCUCCAGUGAUUUGCUCUUCUUUUUCAUACUCAUCUACUCAAUCUGCAAAUCUUUGUUUCACUUCCAUACCUUCAAUAUGGACUUCCUUGGUGAAAGUUUGGCUGUUUAAUGAAAAUCCCUGAAACUGACUUCUGGCUUCAGUACUUCAUAGCUGUAUGAGUUUGAACUAGUUACUUAAAACUUACCCA